AUGGCAAGUAUCAAGAAUAGUUAAGCUUAUGGGUUGAUGUAAUUCUUGAGGCUUCCCUUUCUUUCAAGAAUCUGGUUCAGGUUUUCAAAAAAUCAGAACCCAAAAGGUCGAAACUUAAGACGGGUGGUUUGAAUUCUCCUGGGUCAAUCGUCUUUGUUUCACCUCGACCCGUUAGGAAACUCAAUGCUGCUGUGACAAUAGUUCCAAAGAUAUACCAAAGUUAUCGAACACGAAGAAAUUUAGCGGAGUGUAUUGUUGUUAUGGAGGUUAUAUGGUGGAAGGCUUUGGACUUUACAUCUUGGAUCGGACUUCGGUUAUGUCACAAGUGAAGGAAAGGACUAGAGAUGAGCAUUUGAUACUUGGUUCCGGUAUCAAAUUUCCCGUAUCCAAUUUUUUUGGUACUCACUUCUUGGCGUUUUUGGUACCGGUAUAUUCGAGUCGGUACGGUAGCAGUAUUUUACUGAAUUUUACAUACAAAUAUUGGUACAGGUACCGUACCGAACAUUUUCGGCACCGGUACCUAUAUUUGGCAAUUUUUGAUACCCAUAUCAUAUUUGGCGAUUUCGGUGUAUCUAAAGAUUGGUAUAGUUCAUACAUGGGCUUCAACGCCAGUAGAUAUUAUAUGUUUGUGUUAAGCCACCCGCGAAACUCGCGGGAUCUUAAACUAGUA
Helianthus annuus (common sunflower) is the source of this 670-nucleotide long non-coding RNA. RefSeq lists it as uncharacterized. The record is from RefSeq and is a predicted model, not a curated record. Lineage: Eukaryota; Viridiplantae; Streptophyta; Magnoliopsida; Asterales; Asteraceae. The transcript is spliced from 2 exons.